GGUGUUAUAAUUUAAUGAAAAUGUCACUUUGCAAAAGUGAAUUUACUCGAUUGAGUUUUCAUCU
Molecule: transfer RNA, 64 nt
Filed under: Acasta sulcata
Lineage: Eukaryota; Metazoa; Arthropoda; Thecostraca; Balanomorpha; Balanidae
Description: tRNA-Cys
Source: RNAcentral